GAAAAGCCCGCUCGCCGGAAGACCAAGGGUUCCUGUCCAACGUUAAUCGGGGCAGGGUGAGUCGACCCCUAAGGCGAGGCCGAAAGGCGUAGUCGAUGGGAAACAGGUUAAUAUUCCUGUACUUGGUGUUACUGCGAAGGGGGGACGGAGAAGGCUAUGUUGGCCGGGCGACGGUUGUCCCGGUUUAAGCGUGUAGGCUGGUUUUCCAGGCAAAUCCGGAAAAUCAAGGCUGAGGCGUGAUGACGAGGCACUACGGUGCUGAAGCAACAAAUGCCCUGCUUCCAGGAAAAGCCUCUAAGCAUCAGGUAACAUCAAAUCGUACCCCAAACCGACACAGGUGGUCAGGUAGAGAAUACCAAGGCGCUUGAGAGAACUCGGGUGAAGGAACUAGGCAAAAUGGUGCCGUAACUUCGGGAGAAGG
Molecule: ribosomal RNA, 421 nt
Filed under: Escherichia coli
Lineage: Bacteria; Pseudomonadati; Pseudomonadota; Gammaproteobacteria; Enterobacterales; Enterobacteriaceae
Description: bacterial LSU rRNA
Rfam family: Bacterial large subunit ribosomal RNA
Source: RNAcentral